This 458-nucleotide ribosomal RNA is filed under the name Escherichia coli. RNAcentral describes it as "bacterial SSU rRNA". It matches the Rfam family "Bacterial small subunit ribosomal RNA", at positions 1 to 455 of the family's 1533-position model. The record is from RNAcentral. Lineage: Bacteria; Pseudomonadati; Pseudomonadota; Gammaproteobacteria; Enterobacterales; Enterobacteriaceae. RNAcentral also lists the same sequence under 1 other name.
AAAUUGAAGAGUUUGAUCAUGGCUCAGAUUGAACGCUGGCGGCAGGCCUAACACAUGCAAGUCGAACGGUAACAGGAAGCAGCUUGCUGCUUCGCUGACGAGUGGCGGACGGGUGAGUAAUGUCUGGGAAACUGCCUGAUGGAGGGGGAUAACUACUGGAAACGGUAGCUAAUACCGCAUAAUGUCGCAAGACCAAAGAGGGGGACCUUCGGGCCUCUUGCCAUCGGAUGUGCCCAGAUGGGAUUAGCUUGUUGGUGGGGUAACGGCUCACCAAGGCGACGAUCCCUAGCUGGUCUGAGAGGAUGACCAGCCACACUGGAACUGAGACACGGUCCAGACUCCUACGGGAGGCAGCAGUGGGGAAUAUUGCACAAUGGGCGCAAGCCUGAUGCAGCCAUGCCGCGUGUAUGAAGAAGGCCUUCGGGUUGUAAAGUACUUUCAGCGGGGAGGAAGGGAGU